AAAAUCCCCAUGAAACCAAAUCUUUUUUUAGAUUAUGACUAUGUUAUCGGUAAGCUAUAGUGUGCUCCAAAACAAUAACAAAAUUCGCAUUUAAAAAAAGAAGAAAAAAAAACAAGCAUGAAAGAGACGUAUUGUAAAUAGAAGUAAUUCUUGAAACAGAUAGCAAUAUGGAAGUAUCUGCUUAAUCAUCUUCUUAUUUUUGCCAAAUAGAAUAUUCUCAGAAAAGUGUAAUUUAUCAACUGUUAAUUUACGACACACACACAUACACACACAGAGAGAGAAAGAGAGAGAGAGAGGCUGUGCAUGUAUGAAUAACCACCAUUUUGCCGUGAUUCUCUAUUAACAGUGAAGCCAUAGCUUUAAUUCCUUUAGAAACUGAUGGUACCAGCUCUUUGUUGAGAAAUUUAAAUUAAUUGUAGUUGUUCAAUACCACAGGAACAGUUUAAACUCACAACUCCAGAGGUUCACGAGGAGAAAGGAUGGUGAAGUCGCAUGUUAGUUGAGGCAGGCGCAUGAAAAAAAAAAAAACAGUUUGAAACAGGACACACCUUCUGUUUUUUAAUUGAUGAUGGGGGUGCCUCAGAGUCUCUUUCUCCAUUUUUCGAAUUUGAAAGCGUGCAUCUAAAAGUUCCUUCCCAGUGUGUCUGGUAUGCACGUGCGUGCACUGUCAUGACAACAACGAAAAAGUUGACAACAACCUAGUCAGCAGUUCAACUGAGGGGUGGGUGUGGCAACAGCAGCGUACUGAACUGUCAAGUAAUGUUCGUUUGGCUGCCGGGGGCCCGAGGAUAUAGAGCAGUGGUCACCAACCUUUUCGAGCUUAAGAUCACAUCCAAAGUCCAAAUGUAAACCAAGAUCUACCACUUGCAAAAAAUUAUUUAAAAAGUCACAAUGUAAGUUCUAUUCUUACAUUCUUGUUGCCUGUUAGUCACUAGCAAAUUAUUUAACCAUACAAAUAGUAUAUAGCUAUACAAACUAUCAACUAUAAUUCAACAUUUUCAACAGUAAUAUAACAUUAAGUAUUUCCACAGGAUUAUUACUCGUAUAUAAACACAAUAAUCAGUCAAUUACAGGCCUAAGCCAAUAAUGUACUGUUUCACUUUCCCUUUUAAAACAUAUUUCAAACACUGCAAAAUGGAAAUACUCAGGUUAUUGCAACUAGCAUACAAAAUAUUAUGGCAACAGUCAUCCUUCAAUUCUUCAAAAAUAUUUUCACACAAAUUACAGACCUACAUUAAUUUUUAGCUACAUAAAUUAAAUAAUGUAAUCAAAUGUAAAACAGCAUCGCAUAUUAGACUGUAUAAAUUAAAGAUUGUUCUUUAUUAAAGUUACAAAAGCUUUUAAAUCAGGAGCAGUGAGUGAUUUCUUUGUUGUUGCUGUUUGAUUAAUAUAAAGACUGUCACUUUAAGAGAAUGCACUGAUACAGUGGCCUACGUUCAGCUGGCUAUGUCUGCUGUAGGAUACUUACCAAAACAGGCAUUUUUACAUGAUUUUUGUGUGAAUUUGUCCAUAUAAAUACAAUACUUCAGAGAGAGCUUAUUUGCGCGCGUGCCAAGGCCCGGGUUUGCGCGCUUCGGAUGAGCGCAUGCACAAAUCUUCUCACUGCGCGCGCGAACUCGCUUCCUCUGGCUCUUAAAUUUUUAAACUGACAAAGCUUAAAUGAGUUUAGUUUAAACACAGAUAUCAGCACCCAGGUGAUGAUGGAAUAAAUUACUGCUCAUAUACAGCAUUCGCGUUGAACAGGAGUGAAUGAUUUGUCCAGGGUUUUUUUUCUCUCUCAUGUUUUGGUAAUGUCUGGGAAGCCAGAAUGCGCAUGCAUCAACAGAAACAUUUAUUAGCUGAACCCAGCAAGCCAUAUUACAGAUGAUAUUGCAGAUGCUUUGUCAGAUUUAAGUUGAAGCGCGUGCCGAACCGUGUGUGGUGAACCGAACGGUUUUGGAUUUUUUCAGCGAACCGUGCCAUUAUUACCUCAAUAAUCAAUCAAUUACAGGCCUAAAACAAUCAUGCCCGACCUGACGGAUAUUAGUAGCCUACAUCUCAUCACACCGGCACCCGUGUAUAAAUCAUGGUCUGGUUUUCAGUCUAAAACAGUUACGUCAAUGUCUCGUCUGUUUCGGGAGGUGCGUGCGCAGUCAGCGGAGGCUCGCACCUCCCAACUCCCACCUUUUUUUUCUCAGAUUUUGAAAAAUCUUUGUGAUUGACUUAAAAUGCUUCUGAGAUCGACUUGUCAACCGCGAUCGACGGGUUGGCGACUCCAGAUAUAGAUGAGCGACCAACUUUUUUUCUCAUUUUUGUCUCAUUUAUGGCAUUAUUUUUUAGUCAAAAGUUAUGAGCGUGUAAGACAUGCUCACGAGCACAUUAUGUUAUUUCACACGCGCAAAAAAGAACCUUCAACUGGCAUGAAAAAAGUACUCGCGCACAAAUUCAACAACCGAGAGGUGUACAUGUAGCUGCGAUCGAGCGCCUGGCAUACUGGUUAACUCUGCUUGUGCAGUGGAAUCCUGCUCGCGCGCAGCGGGCUUCUGCUCGCAGAGUGCUGUUUUGCUAGCGCAGUGGAUUUCUGCUCUCUCAAGUCUACAUGACUUUUGACAAUUUUGGGGGCGGAAACCAAGGAGGGCACUUACCCUCUUAUGAUUGACACUUUGACACAGGGACAUCCCCGCUCCCCAACUGUCAUUUUGGAAGAACAACGGGGCAAAGUCACGGCUUUAAGGUAAGUUUAUUUAAUGUUUUCUUUAAUAAUUAUUUUAAAUUGGCAGAAUUAUAACUUUUUUUAGUGGCAACAAUACGGUUAAACUUCUAUAGGCCAACAUUAUUUAUGUUAAAUGAUGAACAAUUUACCUCAAACGCAGGGCCGGCUCUAGGUUAUUUGGCGCCCAAGGCGAGAAACUCUAAGACGACAGAUUAAUACAGUUUUAUUUAGUUUGAGACAGUGACGGAUGGCUGAAAUAUGCGAAUAUCUUUGAAAAUAGAGGAGAAAUUAGUUUGUGACACUGAAAAGCGAAUUUAACAUUUAAGUGAGUCAAAUGAGUUCAAACAAGUGAAUACGACUUUCUGCUAACGCCUGCAUUUGUCCAUAUCGACAUGUAAAUCAUACAAAUUACGUACAAUAUAGUCGGACCGCAGGUCUAAAAGAACCGACGAUCCGGUUCAAAUAAACCGGUUCAAUAAUUCUUGAACAAAGUGAUUCCUGGAAAAGAAUCAACGUCUCAGGGCAUUUCAAAGUGUGCGCACGCACAGCGAGUGACGUAGGCCGUGUUACUGAGGUGAUUUGAUGCUUUUGUGGUUUAUAAAGUCUUUUUACAUACAAGUUAUAAUUCAAAAUGUUGUUUUUUUUCUGUCAGAAAAGCACAUGGAUACAUUUGUGAGAGAAAAACUCACUGAGUGCAGUCUUAUUGAGGCAUCUAACUGUUGAAUCAAACAUGGAAUUCCUUAACUAAGACCCCAUCCAAUUGUGGCGAUUUAAAAAUGCCAGCAGAUCUCUCAGGCAUUGAUCAUAAUUAAUGGACAGAGGGUCACUGCAGUCACCCGGAUCCAGUACAUAUCAAGUCCAGAUGGUGCACCUAGAAAGGACCUCUACAGCCCCUGAAAGACAGCGGAGACCAGGACAACUAGAGCCCCAGAUACAGAUCCCCUGUAAAGACCUUGUCUCAGAGGACCACCGAGUCAAGACCACAGGAAACAGAUGAUUCUUCUGCACAAUCUGACUUUGCUGCAGCCUGGAAUUGAACUACUGGUUUCUUCUGGUCAGAGGAGUACUGGCCCCCCAACUGAGCCUGGUUUCUCCCAAGGUUUUUUUCUCCAUUCUGUCACCGAUGGAGUUUUGAUUCCUUGGUUUUCCUUAGUUGGGGACAAUUAAUAUCAAGCGAUAUCAUCGACUUGAUUGCACAGAGGGACGAUAUAUCACUGAAUCAAUGAUGAACUGACUUUAACUGAAAACUGAAUGUUUACUGUUGUCCCUUUGCAUUAUUACACACUAUUUUCCUAUUUAAUAUUGUAAAGCUGCUAUGAUGCAGUAUUUGUUUAAUAUGACAGGCUUAUUAGUCAUAAUACAUGGAAAAUACAGCUGCAAAAGGACUUUGCUUUUCCAUUUGAAAUCUGGCAGUCACUGUGCAUUCGUGAAAACUGAAACAGUAAUUUUUGUUCAGUGCUUUUGAAACUGUUUUUGUUCAAGAUUUGCAAUUGUGUUUGGAUUAUGUCACAAUGUGUCACAUGUGGAAAACGCAAUUGAAAAUAUAAUUUGCAAUUCCUUUUGAAAAUUGUCCUUCCAUAGACAGGCUCUAUAACAGAGUACACUGCUCUCAGGUGUAGAUCUUUGCUUCAAAUCAAAGUGUUUGACAAUAGUACACCCAAAAAUUAAAAUUGUUAUUAAUUAUUCACUCUGGUUUGAAAGCUCUCGAAUUUCA
Long non-coding RNA from Carassius gibelio (silver crucian carp), 4406 nucleotides. RefSeq lists it as uncharacterized. The transcript is spliced from 3 exons. Lineage: Eukaryota; Metazoa; Chordata; Actinopteri; Cypriniformes; Cyprinidae. The record is from RefSeq and is a predicted model, not a curated record.